This is a small nucleolar RNA of Mus pahari (shrew mouse), 130 nucleotides long. RefSeq annotates it as small nucleolar RNA SNORA17. The record is from RefSeq and is a predicted model, not a curated record. The transcript has a single exon. NCBI's taxonomy places the organism in Eukaryota, Metazoa, Chordata, Mammalia, Rodentia, Muridae.
UGUGCCCCCAGAGCUGUUGCAGAUGUGGCUGCUGUGUCACAUGUACAUCCAUAGGUGACAGAGAGGAGAGGCUAUGUCUACACUCAGUGUCCUGACCUGUGAACAUCUGAAUGAUUAGUAGACUAACAUU